AGCUCCAAUAGCGUAUAUUAAAGUUGUUGUGGUUAAAAAGCUCGUAGUUGGAUCUCAACAGCCUUGAAGCGGUUAACUUUGUAGUUUUACUGCUUUGUAGGCUGUGCUUUUGCUGGAGGUUUAGUGGUGCUCUUGAUCGAGUGUCUCUGGAUGCCAGCAGGUUUACUUUGAAAAAAUUAGAGUGCUCAAAGCAGGCUAAAAUGCCUGAAUAUUCGUGCAUGGAAUAAUAGAAUAGGAUGUCGAUCCUAUUUUGUUGGUUUUCGGGACUCGACAUAAUGAUAAAUAGGGACAGUCGGGGGCAUUUGUAUCAACGCGUCAGAGGUGGAAUUCUUGGAUUGCGUUGCGACAAACUACUGCGAAAGCAUUUGCCAAGGAUGUUUUCA
This 383-nucleotide ribosomal RNA is filed under the name marine copepod environmental sample. RNAcentral's name for it is "SSU rRNA". It matches the Rfam family "Eukaryotic small subunit ribosomal RNA", at positions 587 to 972 of the family's 1831-position model. Lineage: Eukaryota; Metazoa; Arthropoda; Copepoda. The record is from RNAcentral.